GACAGAGGGUGCAAACGUUGUUCGGAUUUACUGGGCGUAAAGCGCGUGUAGGCGGCCUUGCAAGUCGGAUGUGAAAGCCCACGGCUCAACCGUGGAAGUGCAUUCGAAACUGCAUAGCUUGAGUCUCGGAGAGGAAGGUGGAAUGCUUGGUGUAGAGGUGAAAUUCGUAGAUAUCAAGCAGAACACCUGCGGCGAAGGCGGCCUUCUGGACGAUGACUGACGCUGAGACGCGAAAGCGUGGGGAGCAAACAGG
Molecule: ribosomal RNA, 253 nt
Filed under: uncultured bacterium
Lineage: Bacteria
Description: partial 16S ribosomal RNA
Rfam family: Bacterial small subunit ribosomal RNA
Source: RNAcentral